GCUCAAUGAUGACGUAAAGGCUAAUGUGACUUGACCAGCUGGGUUGCAACCUCAGCCCAUUCCGGUAAUAUGAGUCUGUAAUCUUGGUGGACAAUGCAGAGCAGUGCGCGUUCGCUGUAAGGGCAGACCGACAGAAAACCCUCUUCCCCGUGUCCCUGGAAAAUACAUCUUUGGGAUGCAUCAGCUCAGAGUGAGUGUUUCUAUGAGCUGAGGAGGGGUUGUGGGGAUAGGAUAGGACGGUGCUUCCAAGGUCUGGGUUGCAGGGGGCAGCCCAUGUUGCAGCUGGUGAGAUGUGAGCACACAUCUUUGGUAAUCUGAUGACU
This 323-nucleotide small nucleolar RNA is filed under the name Pterocles gutturalis (yellow-throated sandgrouse). Lineage: Eukaryota; Metazoa; Chordata; Aves; Pterocliformes; Pteroclidae. The record is from RNAcentral.